AGUGAACGCUGGCGGCAGGCCUAACACAUGCAAGUCGAACGGCAGCACAAGAGAGCUUGCUCUCUGGGUGGCGAGUGGCGGACGGGUGAGGAAUGUAUCGGAAUCUGCCCAUUUGUGGGGGAUAACCUCGGGAAACCGGGACUAAUACCGCAUACGACCUACGGGUGAAAGCAGGGGAUCUUCGGACCUUGCGCAGAUGGAUGAGCCGAUGCCGGAUUAGCUAGUUGGAGGGGUAAAGGCCCACCAAGGCGACGAUCCGUAGCUGGUCUGAGAGGAUGAUCAGCCACACUGGGACUGAGACACGGCCCAGACUCCUACGGGAGGCAGCAGUGGGGAAUAUUGGACAAUGGGCGCAAGCCUGAUCCAGCCAUGCCGCGUGUGUGAAGAAGGCCUUCGGGUUGUAAAGCACUUUUGUUGGGAAAGAAAAGCAGCCGGUUAAUACCCGGUUGUCAUGACGGUACCCAAAGAAUAAGCACCGGCUAACUUCGUG
This 490-nucleotide ribosomal RNA is filed under the name uncultured bacterium. RNAcentral describes it as "partial 16S ribosomal RNA". It matches the Rfam family "Bacterial small subunit ribosomal RNA", at positions 29 to 507 of the family's 1533-position model. The record is from RNAcentral.